UGAUUUACUUUCUGGCGAUUUCCGCCAAA
RNAcentral lists this small RNA (29 nucleotides) under Bombyx mori (domestic silkworm). RNAcentral's name for it is "ovarian small RNA-33174". The record is from RNAcentral. Lineage: Eukaryota; Metazoa; Arthropoda; Insecta; Lepidoptera; Bombycidae.